GAUGAACGCUGGCGGCGUGCCUAAUACAUGCAAGUCGAGCGAACAGAUGAGGAGCUUGCUCCUCUGACGUUAGCGGCGGACGGGUGAGUAACACGUGGAUAACCUACCUAUAAGACUGGGAUAACUUCGGGAAACCGGAGCUAAUACCGGAUAAUAUAUUGAACCGCAUGGUUCAAUAGUGAAAGACGGUUUUGCUGUCACUUAUAGAUGGAUCCGCGCCGCAUUAGCUAGUUGGUAAGGUAACGGCGUACCAAGGCAACGAUGCGUAGCCGACCUGAGAGGGGGAUCGGCCACACUGGAACUGGAACACGGUCCAGACGCCUAAGGGAGGCAGCAGUAGGGAAUCUUCCGCAAUGGGCGAAAGCCUGACGGAGCAACGCCGCGUGAGUGAUGAAGGUCUUCGGAUCGUAAAACUCUGUUAUUAGGGAAGAACAAAUGUGUAAGUAACUAUGCACGUCUUGACGGUACCUAAUCAGAAAGCCACGGCUAACUACGUG
RNAcentral lists this ribosomal RNA (497 nucleotides) under uncultured bacterium. Its description in RNAcentral is "partial 16S ribosomal RNA". It matches the Rfam family "Bacterial small subunit ribosomal RNA", at positions 28 to 507 of the family's 1533-position model. The record is from RNAcentral.